RNAcentral lists this ribosomal RNA (232 nucleotides) under uncultured bacterium. RNAcentral's name for it is "partial 16S ribosomal RNA". It matches the Rfam family "Bacterial small subunit ribosomal RNA", at positions 524 to 755 of the family's 1533-position model. The record is from RNAcentral.
UACGGAGGGUGCGAGCGUUAAUCGGAAUUACUGGGCGUAAAGCGCGCGUAGGCGGUUCGUUAAGUCGGAUGUGAAAUCCCUGGGCUCAACCUGGGAGCUGCAUUCGAUACUGGCGAACUUGAGUAUGGUAGAGGGUGGUGGAAUUUCCUGUGUAGCAGUGAAAUGCGUAGAUAUAGGAAGGAACACCAGUGGCGAAGGCGACCACCUGGACUGAUACUGACACUGAGGUGCG